RNAcentral lists this ribosomal RNA (446 nucleotides) under uncultured bacterium. RNAcentral's name for it is "bacterial SSU rRNA". It matches the Rfam family "Bacterial small subunit ribosomal RNA", at positions 329 to 792 of the family's 1533-position model. The record is from RNAcentral.
UUCCAGACUCCUACGGGAGGCAGCAGUGGGGAAUAUUGCACAAUGGGGGGAACCCUGAUGCAGCGACGCCGCGUGGGUGAAGGAGCACCUCGGUGCGUAAAGCCCUAUCGACAGGGAAGAAACAGACGGUACCUGACUAAGAAGCCCCGGCUAACUACGUGCCAGCAGCCGCGGUAAUACGUAGGGGGCAAGCGUUAUCCGGAUUCACUGGGUGUAAAGGGAGCGUAGACGGCAGUGCAAGUCCGGAGUGAAAGCCCGGGGCUCAACCCUGGGACUGCUCUGGAAACUGUAAAGCUGGAGUGCGGGAGGGGCAGGCGGAAUUCCUGGUGUAGCGGUGAAAUGCGUAGAUAUCAGGAGGAACACCGGCGGCGAAGGCGGCCUGCUGGACCGUAACUGACGUUGAGGCUCGAAAGCGUGGGGAGCAAACAGGAUUAGAUACCCUCGUA